RNAcentral lists this ribosomal RNA (2887 nucleotides) under Pseudomonas aeruginosa. RNAcentral describes it as "23S ribosomal RNA". It matches the Rfam family "Bacterial large subunit ribosomal RNA". Lineage: Bacteria; Pseudomonadati; Pseudomonadota; Gammaproteobacteria; Pseudomonadales; Pseudomonadaceae. The record is from RNAcentral.
UCAAGUGAAGAAGCGCAUACGGUGGAUGCCUUGGCAGUCAGAGGCGAUGAAAGACGUGGUAGCCUGCGAAAAGCUUCGGGGAGUCGGCAAACAGACUUUGAUCCGGAGAUCUCUGAAUGGGGGAACCCACCUAGGAUAACCUAGGUAUCUUGUACUGAAUCCAUAGGUGCAAGAGGCGAACCAGGGGAACUGAAACAUCUAAGUACCCUGAGGAAAAGAAAUCAACCGAGAUUCCCUUAGUAGUGGCGAGCGAACGGGGAUUAGCCCUUAAGCUUCAUUGAUUUUAGCGGAACGCUCUGGAAAGUGCGGCCAUAGUGGGUGAUAGCCCCGUACGCGAAAGGAUCUUUGAAGUGAAAUCGAGUAGGACGGAGCACGAGAAACUUUGUCUGAACAUGGGGGGACCAUCCUCCAAGGCUAAAUACUACUGACUGACCGAUAGUGAACCAGUACCGUGAGGGAAAGGCGAAAAGAACCCCGGAGAGGGGAGUGAAAUAGAACCUGAAACCGUAUGCGUACAAGCAGUGGGAGCCUACUUGUUAGGUGACUGCGUACCUUUUGUAUAAUGGGUCAGCGACUUAUAUUCAGUGGCAAGCUUAACCGUAUAGGGUAGGCGUAGCGAAAGCGAGUCUUAAUAGGGCGUUUAGUCGCUGGGUAUAGACCCGAAACCGGGCGAUCUAUCCAUGAGCAGGUUGAAGGUUAGGUAACACUGACUGGAGGACCGAACCCACUCCCGUUGAAAAGGUAGGGGAUGACUUGUGGAUCGGAGUGAAAGGCUAAUCAAGCUCGGAGAUAGCUGGUUCUCCUCGAAAGCUAUUUAGGUAGCGCCUCAUGUAUCACUCUGGGGGGUAGAGCACUGUUUCGGCUAGGGGGUCAUCCCGACUUACCAAACCGAUGCAAACUCCGAAUACCCAGAAGUGCCGAGCAUGGGAGACACACGGCGGGUGCUAACGUCCGUCGUGAAAAGGGAAACAACCCAGACCGCCAGCUAAGGUCCCAAAGUUGUGGUUAAGUGGUAAACGAUGUGGGAAGGCUUAGACAGCUAGGAGGUUGGCUUAGAAGCAGCCAUCCUUUAAAGAAAGCGUAAUAGCUCACUAGUCGAGUCGGCCUGCGCGGAAGAUGUAACGGGGCUCAAACCACACACCGAAGCUGCGGGUGUCACGUAAGUGACGCGGUAGAGGAGCGUUCUGUAAGCCUGUGAAGGUGAGUUGAGAAGCUUGCUGGAGGUAUCAGAAGUGCGAAUGCUGACAUGAGUAACGACAAUGGGUGUGAAAAACACCCACGCCGAAAGACCAAGGGUUCCUGCGCAACGUUAAUCGACGCAGGGUUAGUCGGUUCCUAAGGCGAGGCUGAAAAGCGUAGUCGAUGGGAAACAGGUUAAUAUUCCUGUACUUCUGGUUACUGCGAUGGAGGGACGGAGAAGGCUAGGCCAGCUUGGCGUUGGUUGUCCAAGUUUAAGGUGGUAGGCUGAAAUCUUAGGUAAAUCCGGGGUUUCAAGGCCGAGAGCUGAUGACGAGUCGUCUUUUAGAUGACGAAGUGGUUGAUGCCAUGCUUCCAAGAAAAGCUUCUAAGCUUCAGGUAACCAGGAACCGUACCCCAAACCGACACAGGUGGUCGGGUAGAGAAUACCAAGGCGCUUGAGAGAACUCGGGUGAAGGAACUAGGCAAAAUGGCACCGUAACUUCGGGAGAAGGUGCGCCGGCUAGGGUGAAGGAUUUACUCCGUAAGCUCUGGCUGGUCGAAGAUACCAGGCCGCUGCGACUGUUUAUUAAAAACACAGCACUCUGCAAACACGAAAGUGGACGUAUAGGGUGUGACGCCUGCCCGGUGCCGGAAGGUUAAUUGAUGGGGUUAGCGCAGCGAAGCUCUUGAUCGAAGCCCCGGUAAACGGCGGCCGUAACUAUAACGGUCCUAAGGUAGCGAAAUUCCUUGUCGGGUAAGUUCCGACCUGCACGAAUGGCGUAACGAUGGCGGCGCUGUCUCCACCCGAGACUCAGUGAAAUUGAAAUCGCUGUGAAGAUGCAGUGUAUCCGCGGCUAGACGGAAAGACCCCGUGAACCUUUACUGUAGCUUUGCACUGGACUUUGAGCCUGCUUGUGUAGGAUAGGUGGGAGGCUUUGAAGCGUGGACGCCAGUUCGCGUGGAGCCAUCCUUGAAAUACCACCCUGGCAUGCUUGAGGUUCUAACUCUGGUCCGUGAUCCGGAUCGAGGACAGUGUAUGGUGGGCAGUUUGACUGGGGCGGUCUCCUCCUAAAGAGUAACGGAGGAGUACGAAGGUGCGCUCAGACCGGUCGGAAAUCGGUCGUAGAGUAUAAAGGCAAAAGCGCGCUUGACUGCGAGACAGACACGUCGAGCAGGUACGAAAGUAGGUCUUAGUGAUCCGGUGGUUCUGUAUGGAAGGGCCAUCGCUCAACGGAUAAAAGGUACUCCGGGGAUAACAGGCUGAUACCGCCCAAGAGUUCAUAUCGACGGCGGUGUUUGGCACCUCGAUGUCGGCUCAUCACAUCCUGGGGCUGAAGCCGGUCCCAAGGGUAUGGCUGUUCGCCAUUUAAAGUGGUACGCGAGCUGGGUUUAGAACGUCGUGAGACAGUUCGGUCCCUAUCUGCCGUGGACGUUUGAGAUUUGAGAGGGGCUGCUCCUAGUACGAGAGGACCGGAGUGGACGAACCUCUGGUGUUCCGGUUGUCACGCCAGUGGCAUUGCCGGGUAGCUAUGUUCGGAAAAGAUAACCGCUGAAAGCAUCUAAGCGGGAAACUUGCCUCAAGAUGAGAUCUCACUGGGAACUUGAUUCCCCUGAAGGGCCGUCGAAGACUACGACGUUGAUAGGCUGGGUGUGUAAGCGUUGUGAGGCGUUGAGCUAACCAGUACUAAUUGCCCGUGAGGCUUGACCA